This 77-nucleotide transfer RNA is filed under the name Hujiaoplasma nucleasis. Its description in RNAcentral is "Tenericutes bacterium zrk29 tRNA-Arg". It matches the Rfam family "tRNA". Rfam says of the family: Transfer RNA (tRNA) molecules are approximately 80 nucleotides in length. Their secondary structure includes four short double-helical elements and three loops (D, anti-codon, and T loops). Lineage: Bacteria; Bacillati; Mycoplasmatota; Mollicutes; Candidatus Izemoplasmatales; Hujiaoplasmataceae. RNAcentral also lists the same sequence under 1 other name. The record is from RNAcentral.
GGCCCGGUAGCUCAGUUGGAUAGAGCAAUAGCUUCCGGAGCUAAAGGUCGGGGGUUCAAAUCCUCUCCGGGUCGCCA